RNAcentral lists this transfer RNA (137 nucleotides) under Ralstonia solanacearum. Its description in RNAcentral is "tRNA-Ser". The record is from RNAcentral. Lineage: Bacteria; Pseudomonadati; Pseudomonadota; Betaproteobacteria; Burkholderiales; Burkholderiaceae. RNAcentral also lists the same sequence under 1 other name.
GGAGAGGAGUUUGAUUAAAAAUUCUUUAAAUACAGUGGUUUAUAAGUUUCGAUCAACAUCGAUCCAUCUCAAAGGACAUCGACUUGUUCGUAUUCGCAAUGCGAAGGUCGGGAGUUCGAUCCUCCUCCGCUCCACCA